GGGCCCACGCCUGGUGGCAAAACCUGGCUUGUCACCCAGAUUUCCCGGGUUCGAUUCCCGGUGGGUCCA
Molecule: transfer RNA, 69 nt
Filed under: bacterium
Lineage: Bacteria
Description: tRNA-OTHER
Source: RNAcentral